This 440-nucleotide ribosomal RNA is filed under the name uncultured bacterium. RNAcentral's name for it is "partial 16S ribosomal RNA". It matches the Rfam family "Bacterial small subunit ribosomal RNA", at positions 338 to 795 of the family's 1533-position model. The record is from RNAcentral.
CCUACGGGGGGCUGCAGUGGGGAAUAUUGCACAAUGGGGGCAACCCUGAUGCAGCGACGCCGCGUGAGUGAAGAAGUAAUUCGUUAUGUAAAGCUCUAUCAGCAGGGAAGAAAAUGACGGUACCUGAGUAAGAAGCCCCGGCUAACUACGUGCCAGCAGCCGCGGUAAUACGGAGGGGGCAAGCGUUAUCCGGAUUUACUGGGUGUAAAGGGAACGUAGACGGCAGUGCAAGUCUGGAGUGAAAGGCGGGGGCUCAACCCCCGGACUGCUCUGGAAACUGGACGGCUGGAGUGCAGGAGAGGGAAGUGGAAUGCCGAGUGUAGCGGUGAAAUGCGUAGAUAUGAGGAGGAACACCAGUGGCGAAGGCGGCUGACUGGACUGUAACUGACGCUGAGGCUCGAAAGCGUGGGGAGCAAACAGGAUUAGAUACCCGUGUAGUC